RNAcentral lists this ribosomal RNA (780 nucleotides) under Triticum aestivum (bread wheat). RNAcentral's name for it is "partial small subunit ribosomal RNA". Lineage: Eukaryota; Viridiplantae; Streptophyta; Magnoliopsida; Poales; Poaceae. The record is from RNAcentral.
AUGAACAUCCAAAGCAACUUCUACACAGGAUCAUACCUCCAUGGUCGUAGAAUGCCAAAGUAUGUUGGGAAACUACCGUCAGAUGCGAGAAGAUUCACAGGUUUUGCUGACCCUCCCGUCAGCCUAUACGACAACAUACCCAAUGAGAUAAUGUCAGAUGAAUUUCCAUCAUUCAAUUAUAGUAAUUCCUAUGCUAACAUCAUGCAUGUCAAGAUAAUGGAGAUAAGCAAAGGCAAAACCCCUUCCAAUCUUCAAAGUUCAUUUGCAAACACAACAGUUGGUGGCGGGAGGUCUCUUGUUGCAUCACAGGUGAACUUCCCACAUAGCAACCAACUAGAGAGAUAUGCAAUGUCAUCUGGCCGGCUGCCUCUGCAAAAUGAAAAGGCACCAUUCAUAAGCAACACCACAUCAGUGGGAGGCUUCACUGAGCAAAUGGCACCAUUCAACAUGGCAAGCAACAUAAGCUCAGUAGGAACGAUGUUGAAUGGUAGCUCUACACUUGAUGCAAGUAGAACUUCAACUAAUGAUACUCAUCUGGUCAACAGUGAAAGAACUACUUUGAUGCUUCACACCCUUCAGACAGAUGAUUUCGUCUCAUUGACUCAGCUACAUGAUGGUGGGGAUGGAGCUAGCAUUGUUCCUAUGCAAGAAGGCACACUUAAUCAGCAACCUCUUAAUGAUCAUUUGAAUGAAAUCAGUGCCUUCUCAAUGGAUGAUAUAUUUUCCAACAUGCAUGUGGAAGAUUUCACUGGAGAUGAUGCUAUCGUGGAAGAAGCAUGA